This 1270-nucleotide long non-coding RNA is filed under the name Struthio camelus australis. RNAcentral describes it as "lncRNA (ENSSCUG00000009456.1)". Lineage: Eukaryota; Metazoa; Chordata; Aves; Struthioniformes; Struthionidae. The record is from RNAcentral.
NNNNNNNNNNUCCGGCGCGCGCACCAGUUGGCCCACGCGUGUGUGCGUGUGUACAUGCAUGCGUGUGUGUGCGUGGGUGCAUGUGCAUGCAUGUGGGUGAAUGUGUGUGCAUGGGUGCGUGCAUGCGUGUAUGUGUUUGCAUGCGUGUGUGUGCGUGUGUUUGUGUGCAUGCAUGGGUGUGCAUAUGCGUGUGCAUGUGUUUGCGUACGUGUGUGUGCGUUUGCAUGCAUGUGUGCACAUGUGUUUACGUGCAUGUACAUGUGUGUGCAUGUGUUUGUGUGCAUGUGCGUGCAUGUGUUUGCGUGCAUGUGUGUGUGCAUGUGUCUGCAUGCGUGUGUGUGUGUGCAUGUGUUUGGGUGCAUGCAUGUGUGCAUGUGCUUGCAUACAUGUGCAUGUGUUUGCGUGCAUGUGUGUGUGCAUGUGUUCGCAUGCAUGUGUGUGUGCACAUGUGUUUGCGCAUGUGUUUGUGUGCACGGGUGCAUGCAUGUGUGCUUGUGUUUGCGUGCAUGUGUGCGUGUACGUGUGUGUAUGCGUGUGUGUGUGUGCAUGUGUUUGGGUGCAUGCAUGUGUGCAUGUGCUUGCAUACAUGUGCAUGUGUUUGCGUGCAUGUGUGUGUGCAUGUGUUCGCAUGCAUGUGUGUGUGCACAUGUGUUUGCGCAUGUGUUUGUGUGCACGGGUGCAUGCAUGUGUGCUUGUGUUUGCGUGCAUGUGUGCGUGUACGUGUGUGUGCAUGUGUUUAUGUGCGUGUGUGUGUGCAUGGGUGCAUGCGUCUGUGUGCGCGUGUGUGCAUGCGUGUGUGUGUGUGUGUGUGCGUGUGUUUGCAUGGGUGCGUGCAUGCGUGUGUGUGUGUGUGUGCGCGCGUGCAUGUGUGCGUGCAUGUGUGUGUGCAUGUGUUUGGGUGCAUGCAUGUGUGCAUGUGCUUGCAUACAUGUGGCGGCCGAGGGGGAAAAAAAAAAAAAAAAAAAAAAAAAAAAAAAAACCCAGAUAUCCCCUUUUCUUUCAAGUUUGGGGGGGGGGGUUAAUUUCUUUUUCACGACUGCACGGCGAAUCUGUGUCAGAAAGCAGCGCUAGCGGCCACGCGCUGGGGGCUUUCGGGGGAUUCCUGCCCCUCUGGGGGGCUUUCGCUUCGGUGCAAACCUUGACCCGAAACACCUGGAAAGGUGCAAAACGCAUUUGCUUUUUUAUGUUGGCGACAGCAGCUGCCUCCUCUCCGCGGGGCCCUGCUUGUCCUUGGAGGGUGUCCUGUUCCGGGCGGGGGGCGCCGGGGGAC